CUGAUGGACGCGUUCGGGUCAAUUGCGGAUUGCAACACCCGAUCUCCCUCCCCGUUCCCGAUGGCUGGGAACUGGCCGAGGGGGAGCGCGUCUCCGUCAG
This 100-nucleotide non-coding RNA is filed under the name unclassified sequences. RNAcentral describes it as "L4-Archaeoglobi ribosomal protein leader". It matches the Rfam family "L4-Archaeoglobi ribosomal protein leades". The record is from RNAcentral.